GAUGAACGCUGGCGGCGUGCCUAAUACAUGCAAGUCGAGCGAACAGAUGAGGAGCUUGCUCCUCUGACGUUAGCGGCGGACGGGUGAGUAACACGUGGAUAACCUACCUAUAAGACUGGGAUAACUUCGGGAAACCGGAGCUAAUACCGUAUAAUAUAUUGAACCGCAUGGUUCAAUAGUGAAAGACGGUUUUGCUGUCACUUAUAGAUGGAUCCGCGCCGCAUUAGCUAGUUGGUAAGGUAACGGCUUACCAAGGCAACGAUGCGUAGCCGACCUGAGAGGGUGAUCGGCCACACUGGAACUGAGACACGGUCCAGACUCCUACGGGAGGCAGCAGUAGGGACUCUUCCGCAAUGGGCGAAAGCCUGACGGAGCAACGCCGCGUGAGUGAUGAAGGUCUUCGGAUCGUAAAACUCUGUUAUUAGGGAAGAACAAAUGUGUAAGUAACUAUGCACGUCUUGACGGUACCUAAUCAGAAAGCCACGGCUAACUACGUG
This 497-nucleotide ribosomal RNA is filed under the name uncultured bacterium. Its description in RNAcentral is "partial 16S ribosomal RNA". It matches the Rfam family "Bacterial small subunit ribosomal RNA", at positions 28 to 507 of the family's 1533-position model. The record is from RNAcentral.